Molecule: ribosomal RNA, 441 nt
Filed under: uncultured bacterium
Lineage: Bacteria
Description: partial 16S ribosomal RNA
Rfam family: Bacterial small subunit ribosomal RNA
Source: RNAcentral
CCUACGGGUGGCAGCAGUGGGGAAUAUUGCACAAUGGGGGAAACUCUGAUCCAGCGACGCCGCGUGAGUGAGGAAGUAUUUCGGUAUGUAAAGCUCUAUUAGCAGGGACGAAAAAAGACGUUACUUGCCGAACAUGCCCUGACUAAAUAUGGGCAAGCAGCCGCGGCAAUCUGUAUGCGGCAAGCGUCAUCCGGAUGUACUGGGCGUAAAGGGAGCGUAGGCGGGGAGGCAAGCCAGCGGGGAAAGGGCCGGGCUCAACCGGGGGCAUGCAUUUGAAACUGGGGGGCUGGAGUGCAGAAGAGGUGAGUGGAAUUCCUUGUGUAGCGGUGAAAUGCGUAGAUAUUAGGAGGAACACUAGUGGCGAAGGCGGCUUACUGGACUGUAACUGACGUUGAGGCUCGAAAGCGUGGGGAGCAAACAGGAUUAGAUACCCUGGUAGUC